Molecule: ribosomal RNA, 349 nt
Filed under: Marinobacter algicola DG893
Lineage: Bacteria; Pseudomonadati; Pseudomonadota; Gammaproteobacteria; Pseudomonadales; Marinobacteraceae
Description: bacterial LSU rRNA
Rfam family: Bacterial large subunit ribosomal RNA
Source: RNAcentral
AAGUGGUACGCGAGCUGGGUUUAGAACGUCGUGAGACAGUUCGGUCCCUAUCUGCCGUGGACGUUGGAGAUUUGAGGAAAGCUGCUCCUAGUACGAGAGGACCGGAGUGGACGAACCGCUGGUGUUCGGGUUGUGUCGCCAGACGCAUUGCCCGGUAGCUAUGUUCGGACAGGAUAACCGCUGAAAGCAUCUAAGCGGGAAGCCCCUUCCAAGAUGAGAUCUCCCUGGACCCUUGAGGUCCCUGAAGAGCCGUUCAAGACCAGGACGUUGAUAGGUCGGGUGUGUAAGCGCUGCGAGGCGUUGAGCUAACCGAUACUAAUUGCUCGUGAGGCUUGACUAUAUAACACCC